GAGUUUGAUCAUGGCUCAGAUUGAACGCUGGCGGCAGGCCUAACACAUGCAAGUCGAGCGGUAGCACAGAGAGCUUGCUCUCGGGUGACGAGCGGCGGACGGGUGAGUAAUGUCUGGGAAACUGCCUGAUGGAGGGGGAUAACUACUGGAAACGGUAGCUAAUACCGCAUAACGUCGCAAGACCAAAGUGGGGGACCUUCGGGCCUCAUGCCAUCAGAUGUGCCCAGAUGGGAUUAGCUAGUAGGUGGGGUAACGGCUCACCUAGGCGACGAUCCCUAGCUGGUCUGAGAGGAUGACCAGCCACACUGGAACUGAGACACGGUCCAGACUCCUACGGGAGGCAGCAGUGGGGAAUAUUGCACAAUGGGCGCAAGCCUGAUGCAGCCAUGCCGCGUGUGUGAAGAAGGCCUUCGGGUUGUAAAGCACUUUCAGCGGGGAGGAAGGCGUUAAGGUUAAUAACCUUGGCGAUUGACGUUACCCGCAGAAGAAGCACCGGCUAACUCCGUGCCAGCAGCCGCGGUAAUACGGAGGGUGCAAGCGUUAAUCGGAAUUACUGGGCGUAAAGCGCACGCAGGCGGUCUGUCAAGUCGGAUGUGAAAUCCCCGGGCUCAACCUGGGAACUGCAUUCGAAACUGGCAGGCUAGAGUCUUGUAGAGGGGGGUAGAAUUCCAGGUGUAGCGGUGAAAUGCGUAGAGAUCUGGAGGAAUACCGGUGGCGAAGGCGGCCCCCUGGACAAAGACUGACGCUCAGGUGCGAAAGCGUGGGGAGCAAACAGGAUUAGAUACCCUGGUAGUCCACGCCGUAAACGAUGUCGAUUUGGAGGUUGUGCCCUUGAGGCGUGGCUUCCGGAGCUAACGCGUUAAAUCGACCGCCUGGGGAGUACGGCCGCAAGGUUAAAACUCAAAUGAAUUGACGGGGGCCCGCACAAGCGGUGGAGCAUGUGGUUUAAUUCGAUGCAACGCGAAGAACCUUACCUGGUCUUGACAUCCACAGAACUUUSCAGAGAUGGWUUGGUGCCUUCGGGAACUGUGAGACAGGUGCUGCAUGGCUGUCGUCAGCUCGUGUUGUGAAAUGUUGGGUUAAGUCCCGCAACGAGCGCAACCCUUAUCCUUUGUUGCCAGCGGUUMGGCCGGGAACUCAAAGGAGACUGCCAGUGAUAAACUGGAGGAAGGUGGGGAUGACGUCAAGUCAUCAUGGCCCUUACGACCAGGGCUACACACGUGCUACAAUGGCAUAUACAAAGAGAAGCGACCUCGCGAGAGCAAGCGGACCUCAUAAAGUAUGUCGUAGUCCGGAUUGGAGUCUGCAACUCGACUCCAUGAAGUCGGAAUCGCUAGUAAUCGUAGAUCAGAAUGCUACGGUGAAUACGUUCCCGGGCCUUGUACACACCGCCCGUCACACCAUGGGAGUGGGUUGCAAAAGAAGUAGGUAGCUUAACCUUCGGGAGGGCGCU
This 1453-nucleotide ribosomal RNA is filed under the name Klebsiella sp. Its description in RNAcentral is "bacterial SSU rRNA". Lineage: Bacteria; Pseudomonadati; Pseudomonadota; Gammaproteobacteria; Enterobacterales; Enterobacteriaceae. The record is from RNAcentral.